AGUGAACGCUGGCGGUAGGCCUAACACAUGCAAGUCGAACGGCAGCACAGUAAGAGCUUGCUCUUACGGGUGGCGAGUGGCGGACGGGUGAGGAAUACAUCGGAAUCUACUUUAUCGUGGGGGAUAACGUAGGGAAACUUACGCUAAUACCGCAUACGACCUACGGGUGAAAGCAGGGGAUCUUCGGACCUUGCGCGAUUGAAUGAGCCGAUGUCGGAUUAGCUAGUUGGCGGGGUAAAGGCCCACCAAGGCGACGAUCCGUAGCUGGUCUGAGAGGAUGAUCAGCCACACUGGAACUGAGACACGGUCCAGACUCCUACGGGAGGCAGCAGUGGGGAAUAUUGGAUAAUGGGCGCAAGCCUGAUCCAGCCAUACCGCGUGGGUGAAGAAGGCCUUCGGGUUGUAAAGCCCUUUUGUUGGGAAAGAAAAGCAGCAGGUUAAUACCCCGCUGUUCUGACGGUACCCAAAGAAUAAGCACCGGCUAACUUCGUG
This 492-nucleotide ribosomal RNA is filed under the name uncultured bacterium. Its description in RNAcentral is "partial 16S ribosomal RNA". It matches the Rfam family "Bacterial small subunit ribosomal RNA", at positions 29 to 507 of the family's 1533-position model. The record is from RNAcentral.